This is a non-coding RNA of Acanthosepion pharaonis, 107 nucleotides long. The record is from the annotation of a GenBank genome assembly. Lineage: Eukaryota; Metazoa; Mollusca; Cephalopoda; Sepiida; Sepiidae.
UAUGGCCAUGUCACAUUAAAACACUAGUUCUCGUAUGAUCACUUAAGUUAAGCAAAGUUGAGCCUGGUCAGUAUGGGUGACCACUUGGGAAUACAAGGUGCUGAAAU